GGACUUGACAUCAAGUAAAGGGAGGUUUCCAGGCUCCGCUGAUCAAAGCCCAGCUCCAGUGCUUGAGAUAACUUAGGUAAAACUGCCCUCAGAUAACCAUCUCUUCGGUUUUAACCUCUCUGUAAUGAAAGCGUGUGCUGCCUGAAAUUUUUCAACUCCUGAAUUCAUCUCUGGAGGAUUUUGAUUCUCAUGUUGCAGGAAAAGUCGGGCAAAUUUGAUGAGUCAUUCUUUCUCUUAACUACUGAACAUUUGUGAGUCCAGCUUCAUACUUUCUAGCCUCGUGAUGUCGUUGGUAAGUGACAUUCAAGAAAUGAAAUAAGAGCUCCAGUCAAUGCUUGUUCAAGAAGAGCACAGGAGUUGCUCCACCAUGGAUCAACCAUGGAAAAAAAUGGACCCCAAGGGUAAUAAUACAGAAAUACUAGUGUUAAAGAGACAGAGAAAGGGUACUUGUGAGAAGAAUACGACACAGCCCACCUUCGAAGGCUUGAAGGUUCCUUAUGUUAAUCUCCACUUGAGGUGUCUUACCAAGCCAAGCUAAGAGUGCUACUCAGCCCGGAUGAAUGAAGAAUAAUGCAUUUGGAAAAGAAUAACACCAAGGAGCCAAUAAGGAAGAUAACUUCAGACAGCUGUGGUGACAAAAACUGCAAAGGAGAGGUGCCGGUGAAUAACAAAUGCAGCGAAAUGGCAGGGGACCGGGCUCCACACAAGGUUAUGCAGCCCCUUGGGGAUUAUUCACAGACUUGGAGUGAAGAUCCCAUAAACAUUGGGAAUGCUCAGAACAGAACCACUCCCAGAGUCAGUGUCUCCAUUUCACACCACACGUGGGCCGCAUCCGCUGCUGUGAGGAUAGCACUGGCUCAGCACCAAAGUCCUUUGCCUACAUUUUUUAAAAAAGUAAAGUCAUUUGAAAAACUUCUGGUUACCAAAGGGGACAGGGUGAGGCAGGAAGGUGGGAGGGAUGGACUGGAGGUUAGGGAUUGGCACAUGCACACUGACGUAUAUGGAAUGACUGGCCAAUGGGGACCUGCUGCAUAGCACAGAGAACUUUACUCAGUAUUCUGUGAUGAUCGAUGUGGGGAAAGAAUCUGAAAGAGAGUGAAGGUGUGUACGCAUGUGUAACGGAGUCGCUUUGUUGUACAGCAGAAAUUAUCACAACAUUGUAAGUCAACUAUACUUCAAUAAAACUUACCAAAAAAGGAAAAUCA
This 1205-nucleotide long non-coding RNA is filed under the name Sus scrofa (pig). RNAcentral's name for it is "lncRNA (ENSSSCG00070014828.1)". The record is from RNAcentral. Lineage: Eukaryota; Metazoa; Chordata; Mammalia; Artiodactyla; Suidae.